AGCGCCGCCCCGGCUGGUCCCGCGGGGGGCGGGGGUGGAAAAUGAGGGGAAAAUGGAAAGCGUUUCCCGCCGAAGUGCGCUGCUGGCGGCCGAGAGGUGAUAAUUGCGUAUCUUGGCACUACAAAGCUAAGGCUUCAGACGUGAAUGUUCUAACUUCUUGGGCCUUCCGUACCCCAAACCUAAGCCGAGAAAGGACUGAAGCACUCUGGAAGCCAUCUCUGCCGAAAAAAAAAGACUGCAGAUUUGUGAUACUUCCGUGAGCAUGUAGGUCAGCAGGAAUCUCCGCAUCUGUAAGUCUGGGUAGUGCUUCAUGUAUUUACUUGUAUAAUUCUAUUGAAGGUAAACCAGUACUCUAGGAAGGAUAUGUUACAGAAUUGUAAAUAAAAUAAGUCUUGGAC
Long non-coding RNA from Cygnus olor (mute swan), 398 nucleotides. RefSeq lists it as uncharacterized. The transcript is spliced from 2 exons. The record is from RefSeq and is a predicted model, not a curated record. NCBI's taxonomy places the organism in Eukaryota, Metazoa, Chordata, Aves, Anseriformes, Anatidae.